UGUUCCUACGGGGGGCAGCAGUGGGGGAUAUUGCACAAUGGGGGAAACCCUGAUGCAGCGACGCCGCGUGGGUGAAGAAGCGCCUCGGCGCGUAAAGCCCUGUCAGCAGGGAAGAAAAUGACGGUACCUGAAGAAGAAGCCCCGGCUAACUACGUGCCAGCAGCCGCGGUAAUACGUAGGGGGCAAGCGUUAUCCGGAUUUACUGGGUGUAAAGGGAGCGUAGACGGUCCUGCAAGCCAGAUGUGAAAGCCCGGGGCUCAACCCCGGGACUGCAUUUGGAACUGUAAGGCUAGAGUGUCGGAGAG
RNAcentral lists this ribosomal RNA (305 nucleotides) under uncultured bacterium. RNAcentral's name for it is "bacterial SSU rRNA". It matches the Rfam family "Bacterial small subunit ribosomal RNA", at positions 334 to 656 of the family's 1533-position model. The record is from RNAcentral.